GGGGGGGGGGGGGGGGGGGGGUGGGGGGGGGGGGGGGGGGGGGGGGGGGGGGGGCGGGGUCGGCUGGCGUGAGGGGGGGGGGGGUGGGUGCCCCGGGGGUGCGCUCCCUGUCCGACUGUGAGAACUUCGGGACCCCGGAGCUCGUACCGGCUCAUAUAUUGGACCGGCUUGUUCAAUCUUGCAAGGCGGUUUUGCUUUCCCUUCUCGGUUGCUCCGCGCCGCAUUAUGUAGUUGGUAAGGUAACCGCUUACCAAGGCAACGACGCGUAGCCGACCUGAGAGGGUGAUCGGCCACACUGGAACUGAGACACGGUCCAGACUCCUACGGGAUGCAGCAGUAGGGAAUCUUCCGCAAUGGGCGAAAGCCUGACGGAGCAACGACGCGUGAGUGAUGAAGGUCUUCGGAUCGUAAAACUCUGUUAUUAGGGAAGAACAAAUGUGUAAGUAACUAUGCACGUCUUGACGGUACCUAAUCAGAAAGCCACGGCUAACUACGUG
Molecule: ribosomal RNA, 497 nt
Filed under: uncultured bacterium
Lineage: Bacteria
Description: partial 16S ribosomal RNA
Rfam family: Bacterial small subunit ribosomal RNA
Source: RNAcentral